RNAcentral lists this ribosomal RNA (253 nucleotides) under uncultured bacterium. RNAcentral describes it as "partial 16S ribosomal RNA". It matches the Rfam family "Bacterial small subunit ribosomal RNA", at positions 524 to 776 of the family's 1533-position model. The record is from RNAcentral.
CACGUAGGGGACGAGCGUUGUCCGGAUUCAUUGGGCGUAAAGCGCGCGUAGGCGGCUCGGAAAGUCGGGCGUGAAAUGCCGGGGCUCAACCCCGGGACUGCGUCCGAUACUUCCGAGCCGGAGGUAGGUAGGGGAGAUCGGAAUUCCUGGUGUAGCGGUGAAAUGCGCAGAUAUCAGGAGGAACACCGGUGGCGAAGGCGGAUCUCUGGGCCUUACCUGACGCUGAGGCGCGAAAGCUAGGGGGGCGAACAGG